RNAcentral lists this long non-coding RNA (507 nucleotides) under Heterocephalus glaber (naked mole-rat). RNAcentral describes it as "lncRNA (ENSHGLG00100042917.1)". The record is from RNAcentral. Lineage: Eukaryota; Metazoa; Chordata; Mammalia; Rodentia; Bathyergidae.
CUGCCCGUGUCCCUGCCCUGCGCCUGUGCCGUGCGCGCCCACCCAGGCCUCUCACUCUCGCAACUGACCCGACUCCACGCUGCCAGCCUGACCACAACGGGAGAAGGCGGGUGUUGUCUGAAAUCGCUCCUCUUCAAACGUACUCCGUUCUGUCGAAAGAGAGAGCGUCCCAGGCCAGCGCAGGCGGGCGGGGUUUGUUACCCACAGCAGGACGGAGAAGGUCAGCUGGUGACAGGGAGGCUGCUGCUGGCCCCGGUGAGCCUCCCCAGGCCCCUGAGAGGAAGCUCGAGAAACGGGGUGCUGAGAACUGUCAGAAAGGCCAUAAAGAUUCUUCAACCAAAUCUAUCAUGGACUUGACUUGGACACACAUUCUAUAGCUAAGUCAGCCGGAGGUUCUUAUGAAUUAAUGUUGGAAGACGGCCUAACACCAAUGUAAUAGAGACAUCCUUUCAAAUAGUACCCUCCAGUGACAAAUUCAUUCAGAACAUUUUGAUCAGUUAAAUGUUC